This 74-nucleotide transfer RNA is filed under the name Candidatus Woesearchaeota archaeon. Its description in RNAcentral is "tRNA-Ala". It matches the Rfam family "tRNA". Rfam says of the family: Transfer RNA (tRNA) molecules are approximately 80 nucleotides in length. Their secondary structure includes four short double-helical elements and three loops (D, anti-codon, and T loops). The record is from RNAcentral. Lineage: Archaea; Nanobdellati; Candidatus Woesearchaeota.
GGGCCAGUAGCUCAGUCUGGCAGAGUGCUCGGUUGGCAAUCGGGAGGUCUCGGGUUCAAAUCCCGACUGGUCCA